CUAUUGCACGUGUCGUGUAGAUGAGAACCUGCGUUCAGGUUCGAGCCGAGCGAAGCGAGACAGCAACGCGUUAGCGUUGACCCCGAAGGGGCGAGGCCAAAGGCCGAGUCAUCCUGCACGACCCACCA
RNAcentral lists this small RNA (128 nucleotides) under Pectobacterium carotovorum. RNAcentral's name for it is "RtT sRNA". It matches the Rfam family "RtT RNA". From Rfam's summary of the family: This family represents a bacterial cis-regulatory element known as RtT RNA. The exact function of RtT is unknown although it is thought that it may be involved in changing the cellular response in relation to amino acid starvation. Lineage: Bacteria; Pseudomonadati; Pseudomonadota; Gammaproteobacteria; Enterobacterales; Pectobacteriaceae. RNAcentral also lists the same sequence under 3 other names. The record is from RNAcentral.